ACGUAGGGAGCAAGCGUUAUCCGGAUUUAUUGGGUGUAAAGGGUGCGUAGACGGGAGAACAAGUUAGUUGUGAAAGCCCUCGGCUUAACUGAGGAACUGCAACUAAAACUAUUUUUCUUGAGUGCAGGAGAGGAAAGCGGAAUUCCUAGUGUAGCGGUGAAAUGCGUAGAUAUUAGGAGGAACACCAGUGGCGAAGGCGGCUUUCUGGACUGUAACUGACGUUGAGGCACGAAAGUGUGGGGAGCAAACAG
RNAcentral lists this ribosomal RNA (251 nucleotides) under uncultured bacterium. RNAcentral's name for it is "partial 16S ribosomal RNA". It matches the Rfam family "Bacterial small subunit ribosomal RNA", at positions 525 to 775 of the family's 1533-position model. The record is from RNAcentral.